Molecule: long non-coding RNA, 580 nt
Filed under: Olea europaea subsp. europaea
Lineage: Eukaryota; Viridiplantae; Streptophyta; Magnoliopsida; Lamiales; Oleaceae
Source: RNAcentral
CAAUAUAUUCUACACGAUGAACUCAUCAGUUCUGAAUAAAAUUAAAUUCUCAUUUAAUUAUCAUGUACAAUAUAUUCUUUAUAAAAAGACAAACAUAUGAUUUCUGGAAAAUAAAGAAAUAUAUCGAAAUUAUCUGUAAUUUAGAAAUAGCGACCAAACCCAAUAAAUGAAGAGUCAUGGCACAUGGAUAUGUCAUUGUUGGAGGUCUUGGUCUACAGGGCAUGGGGACUGCAAUUUGUUUUUUCUACUCCAAUAUCAUUUUUAAUUAUUUAACUAAACUAUUAUUUAACCUAAUUCUAGCAUGUAAAGGUUGUAUGGGUUGACUAAUGGUAAAAUUUCCCUGUAACUUAUUCAAAAUUUUCUCUACAAAUGUGGUGGAAUUUGUCGGUGGGCUGAAAGAACUGGACAAGAUGUUUUAAGGAAGAAAAAGAAAUUAUAAUCGUGUCUAUUAUAAUGUUCAGUGAAUAAAUGGAAUUUUUGUCCUAUUCUAAAGGUUAAAGAUUAACUAAUUUCAUGUUCUUUUGUACACAGCUGCAACUGGUGCUGGUUUCAUUGCAAGGGACAUAACAUUUGAGAACUG